Molecule: unclassified non-coding RNA, 427 nt
Filed under: Hevea brasiliensis (rubber tree)
Lineage: Eukaryota; Viridiplantae; Streptophyta; Magnoliopsida; Malpighiales; Euphorbiaceae
Source: RNAcentral
GAUUUGAAUGACUGGUGCUCUAGUUUCCAUGUUGACUAUGUUGACAAAAAGAGACUGAAGGCUGAGCCGCAUUGCAGAGAAUUUCGAUGACAUGAACAGUGGUUUUGAACUUCUGAUAAUUGAUGAACAUACCCAUUUUGGGGAUUUUAAUGGAUAUACUGUAUCGAGUUGUGAACCAGUUGGCAAAUGCAAGUUUUUGGCUUGGCAGUAGUUGAUUUUAAUGGAGACAGUAGCAGGAGUAACAAAAUAAUGAUGAAGUAGAAACAAAGAAUGAUAUGCAAGGCAGCAGCAAGAGAUAAGAGAAUUUGAUAAAAUAACUAGCAACCCCCCUACAUCACUCUAUCAGGCUUAUUUUACACAAUACUAGGAAGUCCUUAAUUUUUGUAUAGUAAGAACAUAUAUCAGCAUGCAUCUUGAUCCCACACAA